Non-coding RNA from Vibrio sp. JCM 19236, 424 nucleotides. The record is from Rfam. NCBI's taxonomy places the organism in Bacteria, Pseudomonadati, Pseudomonadota, Gammaproteobacteria, Vibrionales, Vibrionaceae.
UCCACUCUGUGAUUCAGAGUUAUUAAUGAGUUAUCAAGUAAAAGUAAACCCCAGUAUUUCUGCGUUUCUGUCGUCAUCCUUUGUGUUUCUUAGCUUCAUCGUAACAUUCAAUAAUUCACAAUUGCAGCAUACGCGCAUUAGCGAACUAUAUUUUUUUUAAUAAGGUGACAUCAUGUCUAACAAAACUACUGGUACUGUAAAAUGGUUUAACGAAGAGAAAGGCUUCGGUUUCCUAACUCAAGACAACGGCGGCAAAGACGUAUUCGUUCACUUCCGUGCUAUCGCUUCUGACGGUUUCCGCACUCUUGCUGAAGGCCAAAAAGUAUCGUUCAUCGUAGAAGAAGGUCAAAAAGGUCUUCAAGCUGCUGAAGUAACUGUACUUUAAUCAGUUUUUGUAUGGGUGGCUCUAUGCCAUCCAUACUCU